This 490-nucleotide ribosomal RNA is filed under the name uncultured bacterium. RNAcentral's name for it is "bacterial SSU rRNA". It matches the Rfam family "Bacterial small subunit ribosomal RNA", at positions 28 to 507 of the family's 1533-position model. The record is from RNAcentral.
GAUGAACGCUAGCGGCAGGCCUAACACAUGCAAGUCGAGGGGUAACCUGAUGAAUAGCAAUAUUCAUUAGGCUAGACCGGCGCACGGGUGCGUAACACGUAUGCAACCUACCUUAUACUGGAAGAUAACGUCGAGAAAUCGGCGCUAAUACUCCAUAACACAGCGAAAAGGCAUCUUUUUGUUGUUAAAGCUCCGGCGGUAUAAGAUGGGCAUGCGUCCAAUUAGCUAGUUGGUGAGGUAACGGCUCACCAAGGCUACGAUUGGUAGGGGUUCUGAGAGGAUGAUCCCCCACACUGGUACUGAGACACGGACCAGACUCCUACGGGAGGCAGCAGUGAGGAAUAUUGCGCAAUGGACGAAAGUCUGACGCAGCCAUGCCGCGUGAAGGAUGAAGGCCCUAUGGGUUGUAAACUUCUUUUAUACGGGAAUAAACCUUAGGACGCGUCCUAAGCUGAAGGUACCGUAAGAAUAAGCACCGGCUAACUCCGUG